RNAcentral lists this transfer RNA (538 nucleotides) under uncultured Prochlorococcus sp. RNAcentral describes it as "partial 16S-23S ribosomal RNA intergenic spacer". The stretch from base 209 to 281 matches the Rfam family "tRNA". The record is from RNAcentral. Lineage: Bacteria; Bacillati; Cyanobacteriota; Cyanophyceae; Synechococcales; Prochlorococcaceae.
CAGGGAGACAACAAAAUGUUCAAUAUUAUUUUGUCACCUUAGGUCGAUCGGUAUCUCACGUUCUUUAUUUUUUAAGAAUUUCAUUUCCUAAGUUUUUCUAGGUCACACCCAUUAUUUUUCCUGGGCCAUUAGCUCAGGUGGUUAGAGCGCACCCCUGAUAAGGGUGAGGUCCCUGGUUCAAGUCCAGGAUGGCCCAUAUCUCUAUGUUGGGGGUAUAGCUCAGUUGGUAGAGCGCCUGCUUUGCAAGCAGGAUGUCAGCGGUUCGAGUCCGCUUACCUCCACUGAUUACCACCUCUUCCAUAAUUCUGUAGAAAGGAAAUUUUUUGAGCUGUGAUCAAUUUCUGAACGAAUCUAGCUUCCUAAUAAUCUUAUUAAGAUGCUGGACUCAUUGAAUUAAUUUCAUUGUUUUCAGAGAACCUUGACAACUGCAUAGAUUAUUUUUAAAGACAAUAAGCAUCUUUAAUGAUGCAGAUUUAUUAUUUGUGCGAAUGCAUUAAUAACAAUUCUAUUAAGCUGAUGCUUCAAUUUUGAAGUUAUU